UACAGAGGUCUCAAGCGUUGUUCGGAUUCAUUGGGCGUAAAGGGUGCGUAGGCGGCGCGGUAAGUCGGGUGUGAAAUCUCGGAGCUUAACUCCGAAACUGCAUUCGAUACUGCCGUGCUUGAGGACUGGAGAGGAGACUGGAAUUUACGGUGUAGCGGUGAAAUGCGUAGAUAUCGGGAGGAACACCUGUGGCGAAAGCGGCGCACUGGACCACAACUGACGCUGAGGAGCGAAAGCGUGGGGAGCGAACAGG
RNAcentral lists this ribosomal RNA (253 nucleotides) under uncultured bacterium. RNAcentral's name for it is "partial 16S ribosomal RNA". It matches the Rfam family "Bacterial small subunit ribosomal RNA", at positions 524 to 776 of the family's 1533-position model. The record is from RNAcentral.